RNAcentral lists this long non-coding RNA (467 nucleotides) under Danio rerio (zebrafish). RNAcentral describes it as "lncRNA si:dkeyp-87d8.9 (ENSDARG00000096300.2)". The record is from RNAcentral. Lineage: Eukaryota; Metazoa; Chordata; Actinopteri; Cypriniformes; Danionidae.
GCUACUUUUAAAGUCCAUGUAAUCAUGGGAAGCCGGAACAGGUGUGAGUGUGUGGUGCAUGACUGGAUCUUGUUGUCCAUAUACCGGCAGAUUUGUAAUUCUAUGUGAUUUGUGAGUUGUCAGAUGUGGCAGCAGAAGAAUAAACAUGAGGUCAUGUGACUCCACACAUGGUAGGGAAAAAAAUGUAAAAAAUUGACCUGGAAAAAUUAGAUCGAUUAUAUGUUCUGAAUGUCGAUUCCUUUUCAAUUUAUUGCCCAGCCCUCAGUGUAUCACCAGAAACCAUUUUGUUUUGCAUGUGUUUUUUUUUUGUUUGCCUCUUAAAGUGUUGGAAGCUGUUGACUUGCAUUUUCUAAAUCAUUAUAGACCACACCUAAAAAUCUUCCAUAAAUACUCUACUGAAGUAAAAAAAAAAAAAAGUAUAUCUACUGUAUAUCUUCUAUGACCCGACGGUGAAUAAACUAGCAACA